AUUGAACGCUGGCGGCAGGCUUAACACAUGCAAGUCGAGCGGGGUGAUGGUGCUUGCACUAUCACUUAGCGGCGGACGGGUGAGUAAUGCUUAGGAAUCUGCCUAUUAGUGGGGGACAACAUCUCGAAAGGGAUGCUAAUACCGCAUACGUCCUACGGGGGAAAGCAGGGGAUCACUUAUGACCUUGCGCUAAUAGAUGAGCCUAAGUCGGAUUAGCUAGUUGGUGGGGUAAAGGCCUACCAAGGCGACGAUCUGUAGCGGGGCUGAGAGGAUGAUCGGCCACACUGGGACUGAGGCACGGCCCAGACUCCUACGGGAGGCAGCAGUGGGGAAUAUUGGACAAUGGGGGGAACCCUGAUCCAGCCAUGCCGCGUGUGUGAAGAAGGCCUUAUGGUUGUAAAGCACUUUAAGCGAGGAGGAGGCUCUUUUGGUUAAUACCCAGAAUGAGUGGACGUUACUCGCAGAAUAAGCACCGGCUAACUCUGUGCCAGCCGCCGCCGCGG
This 503-nucleotide ribosomal RNA is filed under the name uncultured bacterium. RNAcentral describes it as "partial 16S ribosomal RNA". It matches the Rfam family "Bacterial small subunit ribosomal RNA", at positions 30 to 523 of the family's 1533-position model. The record is from RNAcentral.